CUUGUAUUAACACUAUUUCACAAUGAUUAACAUUAAGUUAACACCAUUUCACAAGAAUGUUUUCUGAAGAUACCUCUUAACCAUUUACUAACACCAUUUCACAAGAAUGUUUUCUGAAGAUACCUCUUAACCAUUUACUAACACCAUUUCACAAGAAUGUUUUCUGAAGAUACCUCUUAACCAUUUACUAACACCAUUUCACAAAAAUGUUUUCUGAACAUACCUCUUAACCAUUUACUAACACCAUUUCACAAGAAAGUAUUUAGAUUGUUAUUAUGGAUACACCUAUUGGAUAAAUGUGUAAACUCCUCUCUUGCUGCUGAAAAAUGUGCCUAGUUUUCAGGGCUUGUGGGUGGGUUCUGAGCAGUCAUGGGCUAGAAAUUUUAGCUUGACCUGACAACACUGAGCACAACAAAAAUGACAGAGAAAUGGGACACCGAUACACGGAAAUAAUCCGGGAAAUAUGAACAUAGGAAACCAUACAUUGAAUUGAAUAAACAGAACUUCUACCUGAAUCUUGCAUAUGUUCAUGUGCACUAUAAACACCAUGCCCACUCAGAGCAGGGUAAGAAAUGGUUGGCUAAAUGAAAAUGUAUCAUAGGCCUAUUAAACAUGAAACAGAAAUGUCUACGUGUUGCAAUAAACAGUAAGGGGAUGGAAUGAUGAAAUGCUAGCAAUAAUUGUAGUAUUAGAUAGAAUAUAGAUUUACCACAUAGGGCAUAUGCAUUUAAAUUUGUGAAAGUAACAGCAAACAUUUCAACAUAAUGAGGGGCAACUUACUGGUUUGGUCAGGGCCAGCGUGAAGGAUAAAGUUUAUCCUGUGUCGGUCAGUGUAGCUAUUAACUGAAGUUUGAGCGUCUUAGCAAUACAAUGUGUUCUAUACAGCUGUCAACAUUCUACAAGGAAAGAUUUACAUAAUCAUUAACCAGGUUACCCCGGAUACCAGACUUAGAUGAGUGAUAACUCAUUUCUAGAAUGUUGUCAUUGAUGAGAAUGAAUCAAAACAUCUAUUGACAUAUAUUCACAUUCAGAAAUGUUUGAAUUUAUUAUUUAGACAUCCAGAGACAAAUCUACCAAUACACAGUAUUUACUUUUUAGGAGUGCUCUGUCAUAGAGCAGUAGUUCCCAACCUUUUUCGGUUACUGUACUGUACGACCAACUGAAUUCUGCUCUGCCCAGGGUACCCCCUCAUAUGCAUUUUACCAGUAGGGCUAUGGCCUCAUGAGUCUUCUUAAGUACCCCCUGUGGAUAGGCCAAGUACCUUCAGGGAUCCUAGUACCUCUGGUUGGGAACCACUGUCAUAGAGCUAAAUGCAUUCAUAGUCUUGAUUUGUAUGAUCCUUCCCAUUUGUAUUUUCAAAGUCAGGUGAAAAAAUCCUGUUCAACAGAUGCACUCAGUGGAGCAAAACUGUUUUUGUGGUUUGUGUGGGAAAAAUGUUGAGGCAAUCCCCAACAGCCUGAAGAAACACCUGGUGGGAAUAACAAGGACCUUCUAGUGGAAGUGAACCACAACUAGGCUACUAACUAAGCACUAUGUAGGCAAGCCUCACUCACUGGACAAUGAGUUGACUCACUCCAUUUUCAUAGAACACAGAAUAACACCUAAGAAUGCUGAGCUGGAAAAUCAUAUAUCAUUAUGUGGAUGGGACAUUCCUGCUGGGAUGGAGGAUUUAUCUGGAAUGCUUAACUAGAUGAUCAGGACAGUCAAGGGUACUAUUUGUCCAAAAGAGGUGAAGUCUUGCAAUGAGCUAUACGACUGUACUUAUGAUAAAAAUUCUCAAGAGCAAAGUUAAAACACUCUGAGCCGUAAAAUCACCAAGGAGGAGCAACAGUGGUUGAGGAAUCAUCUGAAAGGGACUGACGUGUCUAACUGACGUCACAGGUAAUUUGAUUAGUCAUGUACAACAGAUGCAUUCGUGGAACAAAACCGUUUCUGUGGUUUGUAUGGGAAAAACAUUGAGCCCACAAGAUGCACCUCAGUGAGAACAUUCUGGAACUGUGCCAUGGUGGAGGUGCCUGUGUAGCAGUGUGAUGUUGUUCCCCUAGAUUAUGCACCAAGUUGCACACAAGGACCAAUUCAAAUAGGCCAGGUCAAGAGGGGAUGUUAAUCAUUUGAUAAUAAUAAAAAUAAUUCUGUGUGUUUUUUUAUAUUUAAUUACAGCUGCAUAGCUAAUGUUAUUUUUUGGUGUACAAACAGUUUUUCAUAUCAAUAUUGUACAUACAAGUGAUUGUAAAAGUUUUGUAUAUUUUGGUUUGGCCCAUCGAGGGUUAUCUGUAUUUCCGUACCUCCUUAUUGUUCUCUUUUGCCUGACCUUCGGCUUAGCGAGGGCAAAUAAAAAUAAUCCAACCAACAGACCUCCAGUUGUGGCAGUGUCCUCAUUAAAAGAAUCCAACCAACAGACCUCCAGUUGUGGCAGUGUCCUCAUUAAAAGAAUCCAACCAGCAGACCUCCAGUUGUGGCAGUGUCCUCAUUAAAAGAAUCCAACCAACAGACCUCCAGUUGUGGCAGUGUCCUCAUUAAAAGAAUCCAACCAGCAGACCUCCAGUUGUGGCAGUGUCC
This 2559-nucleotide long non-coding RNA is filed under the name Salmo salar (Atlantic salmon). RNAcentral describes it as "lncRNA (ENSSSAG00000091761.1)". Lineage: Eukaryota; Metazoa; Chordata; Actinopteri; Salmoniformes; Salmonidae. The record is from RNAcentral.